ACGCCAAUCCAACGGGCGCACGAAAACUCGAUCCGUCGCUCCCAACACGUUCGCAAGCUCGAUCUCCACCAACGCCGCGAAUUUGGGCGAAAGAUCUAGAGAGAUGAGAGAGAUAUUUAGAGAGAGAAAGAGAGGGUUUCUCUCACUACACCAUGAACGUGCUCUUGUGGGGGUGGUGCUUGGCUGUGAAGAAGAAGCCAAGUCACUAGAAGCUUCUACUUAUAGUCAACCCUCAAUAGUAGCAUACACUAUUCACAUCAGGCAGCUCCAAAUCCGAUAUCUUUCGCCGGAACUCCCUGAAUAUCCGUUUGAGCUCAAAUUUGACAGUCAUAUUCGGUUUUGCUUAACUUAACGAAAGAAAUUUUAAUCUUUCAGUUUCGACCCCGUUUGGUCACCGAAAGCUGUACCGAACUGUAAUCAUUAUCAGAUGAAUUUCGGAUUUUAGUUUUCACUCUACGGGUGUCAGAAAAAUAUGAAACUUUAAAUCUAGCCUCAUUAAAAUAUUUCUGGCAUCCCCGCCAGUUUUCAUAAUUUUCUGAGACUGUACAUUUUCUGCUAAUUUAUCUGCCCCGUUUCUCACAGAAAAUCUAAAUCUUCUGUUUUCGCUCUGAUUUCAACACGGGUCAUUCCAGACUUAUAUUUCACUUCUCUAAAUCUAAUAAAAAUAGUAUCUCAUACUAUUUUUAUUUAUUUUCCUUUUUAUAUUAAAAUCCGCAUAUUACAUCCCACCGUAACUUCAUAAUUUUAGAAGUUCGGUAUCCUACAGUAACCCACGCUAUCGCAUCCCCGCUCUAAUAGAUAAAAUCCCAAAUCAUGCGAAAGUAAGGAAGUGUCC
RNAcentral lists this long non-coding RNA (835 nucleotides) under Ananas comosus (pineapple). Its description in RNAcentral is "long non-coding RNA (ACOM_LNC044478)". Lineage: Eukaryota; Viridiplantae; Streptophyta; Magnoliopsida; Poales; Bromeliaceae. The record is from RNAcentral.